RNAcentral lists this ribosomal RNA (1089 nucleotides) under Diacamma sp. Okinawa-2006a. RNAcentral describes it as "bacterial LSU rRNA". It matches the Rfam family "Bacterial large subunit ribosomal RNA", at positions 1429 to 2517 of the family's 2925-position model. Lineage: Eukaryota; Metazoa; Arthropoda; Insecta; Hymenoptera; Formicidae. The record is from RNAcentral.
UAUUGUAUGACGAAGGAGGAUAGUUUGUAUGACGAUGGAGUGACGAAGAAGGUGAAAGACGCUAACGGAAAGGAAGCGUUAGUCUAAGCAAUGAGUUUGGUAUGUAGGGAAAUCCGCAUACUGGGAAGAAUGAGUUGUGAUGGGGAAACACAGCGAUGUGUGAAGGUGAAGGUAGCCAAGCUUCCAAGAAAAGCUUCUAAGGAGAAGUAUCAUACCCGUACCGAGAACCGACACAGGUGGACGAGGAGAGUAUCCUCAGACGAACGGAAGAACUCUCGUUAAGGAACUCGGCAAAAUGACUCCGUAACUUCGGGAGAAGGAGUGCUUCCUCAAGAGAUUGAGAAGUCGCAGAGAAACGGCCCAAGCGACUGUUUAUCAAAAACACAGCUCUCUGCAAAGUCGCAAGACGAAGUAUAGGGGGUGACGCCUGCCCGGUGCUGGAAGGUUAAGAGGAGUUGUCAGAAGCAAUUCGAAGCAAUGAAUUGAAGCCCCAGUAAACGGCGGCCGUAACAAUAACGGUCCUAAGGUAGCGAAAUUCCUUGUCGGGUAAGUUCCGACCCGCACGAAAGGCGUAACGAUUUGGGCGCUGUCUCAACGAGAGAUCCGGUGAAAUCUUAGUACCUGUGAAGAUGCAGGUUACCCGCGACAGGACGAAAAGACCCCAUGGAGCUUUACUGUAGCUUGAUAUUGCUCUUUGAUGUAGAAUGUACAGGAUAGGUAGGAGAUGGAGAAGAUUGGACGCAAGUCUAGUUGGAGUCGAUGUUGGGAUACUACCCUUUGUGCAUUGAAGAACUAACGUGUUACCAUGAACUGGUAAGCGGACAGUGUCUGGUGGGCAGUUUGACUGGGGCGGUCGCCUCCUAAAAGGUAACGGAGGCGCCCCAAGGUUCCCUCAGAAUGGAUGGAAAUCAUUUAGAGAGUGUAAAGGCAGAAGGGAGCUUGACUGCGAGACAGACAAGUCGAGCAGGGACGAAAGUCGGGCUUAGUGAUCUGGCGGUGCUGAAUGGAAGGGCCGUCACUCAACGGAUAAAAGCUACCCUGGGGAUAACAGGCUUAUCUCCCCCAAGAGUUCGUCGCGAGAUAGCAGGA